RNAcentral lists this ribosomal RNA (471 nucleotides) under uncultured Trebouxia photobiont. Its description in RNAcentral is "eukaryotic LSU rRNA". The stretch from base 135 to 288 matches the Rfam family "5.8S ribosomal RNA". Lineage: Eukaryota; Viridiplantae; Chlorophyta; Trebouxiophyceae; Trebouxiales; Trebouxiaceae. The record is from RNAcentral.
CAAUAUCAGUUGGGUUCCUCUUGCCUUGGCCUGAGGUUCCUGGCUGUGAGGGGUGGCUUGAAAACCUCUUAAGCAUUUUUUCUGAAGACAGACUGCUAGCUGGCUUGCUGGCUGCAGACUGAUCUAAUAAUGACAACUCUCAACAACGGAUAUCUUGGCUCCCGUAACGAUGAAGAACGCAGCGAAAUGCGAUACGUAGUGUGAAUUGCAGAAUUCCGUGAACCAUCGAAUCUUUGAACGCAAAUUGCGCUUGAGGCUUCGGCCAAGAGCAUGUCUGGCUCAGCGUCGGCUUACUACCCUCAAUGAAUUCCCUUGUGGACACUGAUUGGAGCUGGCUUUCCGGUUUUCCGACUAGGUUGCCGGUCAGCUGAAAAACAUUCGCGCUAUGGGAGCUGCUUUCCCUUCAAAAAGGAAAGCCGAGUUCCGAUUUGGUAGGUGACCUUUGCCGGUUGCAUGCCUUCGUUGCUCGCC